CUUAUGAGAUAUUCUUAUGUGGUAUGCUUAUGAGAUAUGCUUAUGUGAUAUGCUAUGUGAGUUAGUGGUAGUAACAGGGAGUAGCUUUUCCUUGACUCGGUCGUUAGGACCGAAGGGUAGGUCAGUACCCCAGAUAUGCCUGAUCGUAUGAUUAUAUUUUGUUAUUGUAUGAUAGAGGAAGGGGUGAAAUAAUUCAUGUUGCCGGUUGAGAUAAACCGGAGGGUAGUCGGCACCCCAGAACAGCCUGACAUGGGUAGGUCAACACCCCAGAAUGGCUUGACAUGGGGAGGUCGGGGACCCCAGAAUUGNCCCAGAACAGCCUGACAUGGGUAGGUCAACACCCCAGAAUGGCUUGACAUGGGUAGGUCGGGCACCCCAUAAUUUCCCGGUAGUAUGUAUGCUAUGUGAUUGUAUGGUAUGUAGUAUGAUGGGGGAACUCACUAAGCUUUGUGCUUACAGUUUCAGUUUUGGUUUCAGG
RNAcentral lists this long non-coding RNA (478 nucleotides) under Lactuca sativa (garden lettuce). Its description in RNAcentral is "long non-coding RNA (LSAT_LNC004761)". The record is from RNAcentral. Lineage: Eukaryota; Viridiplantae; Streptophyta; Magnoliopsida; Asterales; Asteraceae.